This 403-nucleotide ribosomal RNA is filed under the name uncultured bacterium. Its description in RNAcentral is "bacterial SSU rRNA". It matches the Rfam family "Bacterial small subunit ribosomal RNA", at positions 355 to 775 of the family's 1533-position model. The record is from RNAcentral.
UGGGGAAUAUUGGACAAUGGGCGGAAGCCUGAUCCAGCAAUUCCGCGUGGGUGAAGAAGGUCUUCGGAUUGUAAAGCCCUUUCGGCGGGGACGAUGAUGACGGUACCCGCAGAAGAAGCCCCGGCUAACUUCGUGCCAGCAGCCGCGGUAAUACGAAGGGGGCUAGCGUUGCUCGGAAUUACUGGGCGUAAAGGGCGCGUAGGCGGCUGUGUUAGUCAGGCGUGAAAUUCCUGGGCUCAACCUGGGGACUGCGCUUGAUACGGCAUAGCUUGAGGAUGGAAGAGGCUCGCGGAAUUCCCAGUGUAGAGGUGAAAUUCGUAGAUAUUGGGAAGAACACCGGUGGCGAAGGCGGCGAGCUGGUCCAUUACUGACGCUGAGGCGCGACAGCGUGGGGAGCAAACAG